ACUCAAAUGAAUUGACGGGGGCCCGCACAAGCAGCGGAGCGUGUGGUUUAAUUCGACGCAACGCGAAGCACCUCACCCAGAUUUGACAUGACCCUGCACACCAGUGAAAGCUGGCUCCUUCGAGGGUGGGUCACAGAUGCUGCAUGGCUGUCGUCAGCUCGUGUCGUGAGAUGUUGGGUUCAGUCCCGCAACGAGCGCAACCCCUACCCUGAGUUACCAGUGUCUCGGGGAACAGCCGCCCGCGAGGGCGGAGGAAGGCGGGGAUGACGUCAAGUCCGCAUGGCUCUUACGUCUGGGGCGACACACACGCUACAAUGCGUCGCGCAAUGCGUUGCAACUCGGUAACGGGAAGCUAAUCGUCAAGGCGACGCUCAGUGCAGAUCGGGGGCUGCAACUCGCCCCCGUGAAGGCGGAGUUGCUAGUAACCGCGUAUCAGCCACGGCGCGGUGAAUACGUACCCGGGCCUUGUACACACCGCCCGU
RNAcentral lists this ribosomal RNA (482 nucleotides) under uncultured bacterium. RNAcentral describes it as "partial 16S ribosomal RNA". It matches the Rfam family "Bacterial small subunit ribosomal RNA", at positions 899 to 1397 of the family's 1533-position model. The record is from RNAcentral.